UCACUUGUCCCUUAAAUGAGGACGCGUAUGAAAGGCAACAUGAGAGAAGACCUGUCUCCUAAGGAAUGCCAAUGAAAUUGAACUACCAGUUCAAAAGCUGGUAUAAAAAAGCAAGACAAAAAGACCCUGUGGAACUUUAAUUAACUGCUUUACAUAACAUAAACCAGCAAUUUUAGUUGGGACAACUUUAGAAAAAAUAAACUUCCUAAUUUUAAUAGACCAACAAGUCAAAAACAUAAUGACCCAGUAAUACUGAUUAACGAAACAAGCUACCCCAGGGAUAACAGCGCUACCUUCUCAAAGAGUUCAUAUCAACAAGAAGAUCUACGACCUCGAUGUUGGAUCAGGAUACCCAGACGGUG
RNAcentral lists this ribosomal RNA (362 nucleotides) under Furcifer labordi. Its description in RNAcentral is "partial 16S small subunit ribosomal RNA". It matches the Rfam family "Bacterial large subunit ribosomal RNA", at positions 1965 to 2555 of the family's 2925-position model. Lineage: Eukaryota; Metazoa; Chordata; Lepidosauria; Squamata; Chamaeleonidae. The record is from RNAcentral.